Non-coding RNA from Podarcis lilfordi (Lilford's wall lizard), 4971 nucleotides. Lineage: Eukaryota; Metazoa; Chordata; Lepidosauria; Squamata; Lacertidae. The record is from the annotation of a GenBank genome assembly.
UGCACAUUGGCUUAUUUUCUUAUGUUAGUAUGCCACUUCAUUUAAUCAUUGUGGACUAAUGAUCUGCAAAAUCAUUUCCAAAUGAAGCCAUUUUCCAGCUGCUGAGAUGUUAAAGUAACUAAAAUUAUGGCAAAGCCUUUCCCCAACUUAAACAUGCCUGAAUGGACUGUGCUUUGGAAUGCCCAUGCCAAAUCUUAUAGAUGUGUUCCUAAGAUUCUUGCAUAUGUGGUUUUUAAUGGACAAAAAAUGGUUCUCUUAGAUUCAGACUGAACAUAGCUCUAAACAAGCCAUUUAAAUCUUGCAGUGUUAAAGAAUUACAUGACCUCAUUCCAGGAGAAUAUAAUCAAGGGAAUUCAAGGAAUACAACCUACAUUCAAGUAAACUCCUAUUCUUUCUUUUAGAGCCUAUGUCACUUAGCACUAGGACUGGUCAUUUCUGUUGCAGAAUGGUGGGAGCUGUGGUGUGGGACAGGGUCAAUUUAUUUUUUCAUAUAGAAAGGGAUAACAGCUCAGUGGUAGAGCAAGUGCUUUUACUUCAGAAGGUUCUAGUUUCAAUCCACAGCAUCUCUAGUUACAAGUUUAAGUUAGCAAGUGAUGGGAAAGACCUUUGCCUAACACCCUGGAAAACUGCUGCCAGUAUUAGUAGAUAAUACUUGGCUAGAUGGAUAGUUUCAUCUGCUGCAGAGGCGCCAUAUUCUGAAUGUGAUGUUGCGUCAUCCUGAUGUUGCAUGAUCUCCUGACAUUGUGUGUGUGUCGUUGCAUGAUGUCCUGACAUUGCUCAGCGUCCAGCUCUGCAUACAGCCUCAACAAUGGGAGGGGGAAGCCCCCUCAAAAAUAUUUUGAGGGGGCCCAAAGAGCCUCAGCCCCCUGGAGCUGGUAACUACGAUCUUGUGUAACGCAGCUUUCUGGGAGUGGUGGGCAGAAGGUAGUUCUAGAUCAACCGGUAGAACUGCAGUAAAUCACCAAGGAUUUCUAACUGCUCAACUACUUAACAAUUGCAGUAACAAAACAAUUCCCACUCCACAUUAAAUUAUUCCACUUAAAUUAAGUUACUCAUGUCCUCUAAUUUCAGUGGGUCUACUCUAACAUGGGCUACGACUCCAUCAGUGGGCUCUGCCGAGAGCCCUAGUUACACUCCAUGUUUUGCUAGGAUUUAUAACAUAGCACAAUACAGUCUUUUCUAACCAAAGAAAGUCACUAAGAUUUCAACAUACAGUUCCUUACAGAUUGUUUUUAACAUGGAUGUAGGAAUGUGUGUGUAUGUUUAAAGGCACUUGCAAUGACUCUUUACAGGUUUGUCUUGAAACACAAUUUUUUAAAAAAGAUUCUCCAUAUCCUAGGAGUAAAUAGAUAUAUUAAAAUAAGCUAUGGGAUGUAUAGUGCAGUAUAACAAUGAUAAAUGAUGUUGUGUGUAAUUUUUCUACUAUUAACAUAAAGUAAUAUAAACUGAAGGACACUAGUCUAUUGAGAGAGUUAGUAGCUAAUGUUCCAUAUCAGAUGUGGACAAUGUCAGGACUGAAUACAGAUUAGGCAGUGUCCUUUUCUCCCCCGGGGAAUUAAACUUUGAGACACCACUGGCUGCCAAUGGUUUUACUGCAUUUUGUUGGUGCCUCUGGUGCCUUUCUUGGUCUAUUAAUUCAGGAGCUGUAAAUGACAAUGUGAGUAAAAAGCUUUUCCAGUGGGAUGCAUUUCAUUUAUGUAUUCCUGUAUCCACAGUACCUGUUCAAUCCAUUUUGUCACAAUAACUGUAUAAAAAUUGUGUGGAUUAACUACAGUUCUUCUUGGAGCUCAGCAAUUUUUCUUUCUUUCAUUGUCUUUAUUAGAAAGCAACAGCACAAUCAUUUACCAGAAUGGAGGAUCUUUUUAUAUCUUAAAAGAAAUAUUUAGUGACAACAAAGUAAAAACUUAAAAGCACAGAACAUUGCACACUGUCAAAUCAAUCAAUCUUCUAUCAUAAAAUGAACAAUAGAACAUUGAUAACCAGGAGUUAUCCAUUGCUCUUUUGUAGUUCUCUUAUACUUUUAAAAUCCAAUGUAUUUUGCAAUCCUUGUUUUGUUCCCUCCACGAAUCUAUUAAAGUGAGACAAAAAACAAUGAUCAUCUAGUGAAUGAAGCUAAGAAAUCAUAAUUUCUUAAAGGGCACUCAGUGGUUUUGGUUGAAAGGGGUUUGAAUCUACAACCUGGUUCAGAGCAUCAUCUAAACCAGGGUUGGAGGAUAUGUUGGACUUCAGCUCCCAUAAUUCCUGACCAUUAACCUCAGCUCCGAGGGCUAAUUGGGGUUAGUGUGCAAAGAAAUCUAAGUCACAGCUUCAUGUGCUCCCCAUCCCCACUUCACUUUCUGAAGAAGCAAGAAGCUUCUGCUUUUGACUAAACCUCAGUUGCCUGUUAUAGAUGAAGUUGGGGAACUAUGGUUUAAACUUAUUAUUGAAGCUUAAAACAAACAAGGAUCAAAAUGUGGUUUGAUCUUGGCUUUAGCUAACAAGAGUUAGUUUAAGGCAUCAUUUCCCAAGUUCAUUCUUAACAAGAAACUAUGUUGUUGUUUCAAAAGUUGAAGCUAUGGUCUCUGUUUCAUCCACAGGAGGGAGGGGAAGGGUGUGUGCAAGCCUGAGGCUUGUUACAGCUCAUCUCAACCAUCUGGUUUAAAUUAUUGGCUGAACCAGGCUGCUAUUUCAUCUGUGAAAAAGAGAGAAGACUAUAGGUCCUCUCCAUCCAGUUUGUUGGAAGACCAGCCCCAUCAGGCUCCUCCCUCAACUGUCCUCCCACAUCUACAGCAGCCAUUCCAUAAUGCUAUUGGAGAGAGGUGGAAGUGCAGGAUGUCUUAACUGGCUCUGCUGAAAGACCAGCAACUUUAGGAUCCUUCUCUCCUUGAAAUCUUUCAGUUCCAAGACUUCCGGGGUGGCGCCAUCGGCAAUGGCGGACUCCCUCUGAACUGGAGGGACUAGCUCCGCGCGAAACGGGUCUUUUCCGCUACGGCGAAGCGGGGACCCUUUUAAAAAUCACAGGCGGAUGAAGCCUGUGACCAUGGGACUCGGCGGGCACCCUUAGCGCCCCCCCAACCCGCAAAGGAACCCACUAACGGGCUCCGAAGCGAAGAGGGGGAAGCGGCGCAGUGCUGUGAGUCAACUGCUAUUUCCGUGGAGUGAAGCCGCACAGCCGUUGCCGGAGAGCGCUGCCUUUUUCCUGGGACAAUUUGGCUUCUAAAAUAAGCACCCGUGAGUACUUAAACUUUGAACAAUUGGACUUUAAAUAAGGACUUGCGAGCAGAAAGGAAUUGGACUUAAAAAUUUUACUUCAAUUUGGUACUGAAACGGGAAGGUCUAAACAGGAAGUCAGCCUUCCGUUUCUUUGUAGACAGAAUAAAGGAAAGACAACGUAAACUAGAGCUCAGAAAAUCGCCUCUAAAGGAUUGGCUUUCAUCAUUUAAAAUUGUUGAACCCCCCUUUGGCAGCAGGAGAAGAAGGGGGGAUCUUUUUUGGACUGUUUAAACCUGCAGAAGUGAGUUUAAAGUAAAGUAACUUUCCACCGUCCUGAUCCUGGAGCGGGGUGUCAGGACUGACGUUUGAAGCUCAUUGACCAGAGAUAAACGUUUUUGACAGAUAGCUAAAAGAAGAGAAACAUAGUGAUUCCAUUGUUUCCUUUCGCACCUUAAAGGAACAAAUAUUGACAAAAGAUCUGAAAAAAGGAAACUCUGUUGCUAGACUUGUCUUUAAAAGAAAGAUCAAAUAGAAGUUUUCCCCCUAGAGGGAGACUGUGAAACUGUAACCAACUCCUGGGAGCUGGCAGCUGUUACAGAUUACAAUCGUGGGAAUAGACAUCUGACCUUGCAGGACAAUGUAUUCAGAAGCUCUGUUGUGUGCUUUCUAUAAAACAAAUGCCCUAUUGGAACAGCUACAUGAGAAGACGAAUUUGAUGGCUGAUUCGAUUAGAAAUUUUGAACAGGCAGUGGGAAAUUUUGAACAGGCAGUGGGAAAAUAUGUGGAGCCCACCCAGGAAUUAAAUCAGGAGUGUGCCCUGACAGAACAGGCCCAACAGGAAUAUGAGCUUUAGGAUUUGACAAAUGAACUUGGAAAAAGCCAGAUUUGGAAAGAAAAAGUUUGGUUUGGUUUGGAAAUGGGGCGUUGGAUAGACCCUCCUAUGCAGGGAUGUUUGGACUUUUCAAGUCUGGCAAUGGGCCGUGAGAUGUUUGGGAUUGUGGGGGCUCUCAAUUUUGGAGGGUUUUUGAAACAUGUUUUUAAAUACCACAUGGAAUUUAGUGUCGAUUAUGGAAAAGGGGCUGAUCUGUCGAGAAGGGUCAAAAAUAUUGCUAAGCUGGAGUUCCCACGAGUGAAACGAGCAGGAGACAAGGGAAAAUACAGUUACAAAUAUGAAGAAGAGCUGCGGAAGGGACAUGGAAGAGACUUAAGGGCCUCGGAUAUAAGGUCACCAGGUUAAUGCGCCAGAUCGAUGGGAUAAUAAGGACUGACAAACCCAGGACCAGGAGGAAGGGAUGCUGGAUGAAGAUUGGAUUUGUUUUUAUUUCUUUUUUUCAUUACUAGGACUGUUUUAUAAAAUUGAUGAAUGUUAGAAAAAUGUUGGAAUGAAAUUAUUUGGCUUUAGUAAAAAUGUUUAAAGAAUUAUGUAAGAAUAUUAUGGUUAUGAGAAGUUGGUAAAAAUAAGAUUUAAGUUUUAAGUUCCAAGGUUUUUUAUAGUAAGUUAAGAUUAAAAUAGUUUAAGGUAAUGUAAUGACAGAAUAUUAUGAAAUAUGGAAAGGAUUUGCUGUGACAAUUAACAACCAGGACACAAGGAAGGGGUGGAGGAGGAGGUCAAGGAAAGAGGGUAAUGACAGUUGAGGUGUUGAGAAUAAUGGAUUUGUUUUUAAAUGUUUUUAAAUUUUUGUGGUGUAUUUUUGUUUUUUCUCUCUCUUAUUUUGUGUAUUUGUAUGGUUGGAAGUGGCUUGUUUUUCUCUUUUUCUACUUUGUUUUCUUUUGUAACUU